Molecule: ribosomal RNA, 89 nt
Filed under: Bos taurus (domestic cattle)
Lineage: Eukaryota; Metazoa; Chordata; Mammalia; Artiodactyla; Bovidae
Description: partial small subunit ribosomal RNA
Source: RNAcentral
UGCAUCUAACCCUAUUUAAACGCACUAGCUACAUGAGAGGAGACAAGUCGUAACAAGGUAAGCAUACUGGAAAGUGUGCUUGGAUAAAU